Molecule: long non-coding RNA, 290 nt
Filed under: Gossypium raimondii (Peruvian cotton)
Lineage: Eukaryota; Viridiplantae; Streptophyta; Magnoliopsida; Malvales; Malvaceae
Description: long non-coding RNA (GRAI_LNC005503)
Source: RNAcentral
GGAAGUUUAAAAAGCAUUUUUGGUUUUAAGAGGUUUUCUGGUUUAUUUUGGGAAAAUUGGGGCUAAGAAUGUCAAAGAGGAAAGGAAAGGCUUUGCUUUGGUGUAGAAAUCCGACUGAACGAUGCGUCGACGGAGGUGUUGGCAGUCGGAGGAGGCUGCUACAGUUUGUAGUUUAGUGGAAAAUUAAGUUUUUUUUUUUUUUGUUAAGAAAGGAGAAAAAAUAAGGCUUACUAGAAUUAGUAUCAAAUUGUGUAAAUUUUAAGAGUUAUUUUAAAAAAUAUAUAUAAUCA